This 301-nucleotide ribosomal RNA is filed under the name uncultured bacterium. RNAcentral's name for it is "partial 16S ribosomal RNA". It matches the Rfam family "Bacterial small subunit ribosomal RNA", at positions 509 to 808 of the family's 1533-position model. The record is from RNAcentral.
CAGCAGCCGCGGUAAUACGUAGGUCCCGAGCGUUGUCCGGAUUUAUUGGGCGUAAAGGGAGCGCAGGCGGUUUAGUAAGUCUGAAGUUAAAGGCAUUGGCUCAACCAAUGUAUGCUUUGGAAACUGUUAGACUUGAGUGCAGAAGGGGAGAGUGGAAUUCCAUGUGUAGCGGUGAAAUGCGUAGAUAUAUGGAGGAACACCGGUGGCGAAAGCGGCUCUCUGGUCUGUCACUGACGCUGAGGCUCGAAAGCGUGGGUAGCGAACAGGAUUAGAUACCCGCGUAGUCCCUGUCUCUUAUACA